UGGGCGUUUGGUUCCCUGCAGCUCAUGGCCUGGCCCUCCCUCCCAGACCAGCUCUGUUGCAAAGGAAAAUACAUCAUUCAUCUUCUCAGGAUCUUGCCCAUGGCCCCCUUUUCCUUUUUCCAUCCCAGGAAUUCAGUCAAGGGAAAAGGAACUCUCUACAAGAAAAUCUGGGCUUAGACUUUCUCUGUGUGACUCUGUUGAAUGUCUCUCUGGGCCUGAAGAACAUGGCUUUCUGUGCCCCCACAAAACAAGAGGAUCAGGAGCCUGAGGUCCCUCCUGAUUACAUGACUAAUGGAAACGGUGCUGGCUGGAAGGACUCCCUCAGGAGCAAGCCUGCAGAUGCCCUCUUGAAGAACAGCAAGUGGGGAUGCUUCUCAUCUCUGAGCCUCUGUUUCCCCUGCGUGCCGAUGGGCAUGGUAUAAUUCUACCAGGAAGAACUUCCCAGGAGAGAGAUGGCCAGAGUCCUAUGAAGUUCCUAGGAAGAAAGGGGCAGCGUGACUGCAGAACUCAAAUCCUCCUCUGUCAGCUCCUCAGGUCUGUACAUGGAUACUGACUCAGGGUGUCAAGUUCUAGCUGAUACGGUUUCUAUCCCAUACCAUGCCCCAGACCUGACCUUCAGGCCGACCCAGGACUGUGGGAAGCCAUGGAGCAUGCUAUGACUACCGUGCCUACAUAAAAAGGAAUGGGGGUGGGGUGGGGAAUAAAGCAAAAUAAAACAGAGUCACUCUGCCACGUUUCAGGUUACACCCA
This is a long non-coding RNA of Apodemus sylvaticus (European woodmouse), 750 nucleotides long. RefSeq lists it as uncharacterized. The record is from RefSeq and is a predicted model, not a curated record. NCBI's taxonomy places the organism in Eukaryota, Metazoa, Chordata, Mammalia, Rodentia, Muridae. The transcript has 2 exons.